UCCCUUAGUAAGGGCGACUGAAACGGGAAGAGGCCAGCGCAGAACCUCUCAUGCCGGACGGUGUGACGAGGAAUGUUGCGUUUCGGAGGGUCGUCUUGCCGCGUGCUUCUCGAAAUGUCCAAGUCCGCUUGAACGCCGCCACUACCCGGAGAGGGUGCGAGGCCCGUAUGACAUUCUCGAGCCGCGGCAUGACCCCUUCCGUAGAGUCGGGUUGCUUGAAAGUGCAGCCCUAAGCAGGUGGUAAACUCCAUCUAAGCCUAAAUACUACCACGAGACCGAUAGCGAACAAGUACCGUGAGGGAAAGUUGAAAAGGACUUUGAAGAGAGAGUUCAACAGUGCGUGAAACCGCCGAGAGUCAAACGGGUGGAACCUCGAAGUUCGAACGGGAUGCAUUCACCCGGUGGGCGGGAACACGCCGGCUAUGCAUGUGUUUGCCUCCGUAGCAUUCGACCAUACGCCGAUGAGAUUUGAACCCGCCCGCCGGUGUACUUGUUCCCCAGUAGAUCGCCGCGACCCGUUGCCCGGCGCGGUCGAAGGCCCGUCGGUUCGGCAUCUGGCCCCCUUGCCGGGGCCAGAGAAGUCCGUGCGGUGUCCUGACCGCCCGGCGACGGUCGUACAGCAAGUGCCGGCCUCUCGUGGGCGUCCCGCCGUCGCCGCCCUUCCUCUCGGGAGGGUGGCCGGCUCGGACCAGGCGCUUCUCAGCGGUGAAGAGAUCGGGAACCCCCCGACCCGUCUUGAAACACGGACCAAGGAGUCUAACAUGUGUGCGAGUCAUUGGGCUUCGUCGAACCCCAUAGGCGCAAUGAAAGUGAAGGCGGCCUCCCCGGCCGCCAUGGGCCGAUCCGUCCACCUGCCCGGUGGCGGCGCAGGCCCGGGACUGGCGUGCCCCAUCGCGGGCGCGCGAGUACCUCGAGCACCCAUGUUGGUACCCGAAAGAUGGUGAACUAUGCCUGGCCAGGACGAAGCCAGAGGAAACUCUGGUGGAGGUCCGCAGCAAUUCUGACGUGCAAAUCGAUUGUCAGAGC
RNAcentral lists this ribosomal RNA (1026 nucleotides) under Anguillanella sp. 2 GP-2019. RNAcentral describes it as "partial large subunit ribosomal RNA". It matches the Rfam family "Eukaryotic large subunit ribosomal RNA", at positions 76 to 911 of the family's 3401-position model. The record is from RNAcentral. Lineage: Eukaryota; Metazoa; Arthropoda; Malacostraca; Bathynellacea; Bathynellidae.